UAUAUCUAUCAGUUAUUGUCCUUAUGCACUUUUUUUUUUCUUUUUUUUUUAAAGAAAAUGGUAGAAAUGCACAGCAGUGAAACAACUCACAAGUUAUUGAUAAAUCCAACAUACUCUGCACAAAGAACUGAACCUAAAGAUGUUUUCUCCUUGUCAUUCUUAGGUGUUUUCUUCCAAUUAUUUUUGCAAGUGUCAAUACAAUUGGAGUAAGCACUGUAUGGAUGCUGAUGCCUCAAUCACCUACCAAUCGUUGCCUUUCUAGUCUUGAUUGGUUGUGACUCUGAUUGAAAGUUUGUUAUGAUGGACCUACAUUCAUUCUACACAAGCACUUCAAAAUAUGAAGAAUCCAUGGACAUGAAUAAAGGUAUUGGGUACCUGGUUUGGCAUCCCUACCAACUUGCCCAAUACUGUCCAAAAUAAGAAAAAACCGAUUCCUAUUUCACUAUAAAUUUCCUCAUGUGCUUUCUUUGAUCACACUUGUAUGCUACCCUAUAGAAAAAGGAAAAAGCAGGCCUUUUUUAUUUUUAUUUUUUUUGAUAAUAUUGCCAUGCUUUUGUUGUAAGAUUUGGGGAUUAGAUGAAUUCAGCACCUAGAAAAAGACACAGGUGGUACUUGUAUCUAACUCCUGUAACAUAGAGAUAGUGCUUAAUCUUAGUUUUGAGAGAAAAAAAAAAAAAGGAAGAGAAAAAUGGUAGAAGAUGAAAGAAGUGAGAGUAGAAUAACUUGGUAGCUUGGCAAAGCUUUGGUGACCUCCAAGUUCUGCAGCAGUGACUUAGCACAUGUCUUUGUAUUGAGAUAAGAGUUUAUUGUACUGUGGUUUUAUCUGAUGUUUCUAUAUCUUGGUCUUGCAUA
Vitis riparia (riverbank grape) is the source of this 852-nucleotide long non-coding RNA. RefSeq lists it as uncharacterized. Lineage: Eukaryota; Viridiplantae; Streptophyta; Magnoliopsida; Vitales; Vitaceae. The transcript is spliced from 3 exons. The record is from RefSeq and is a predicted model, not a curated record.